CGCCGCUCCUCCAGUGCGGGCCGCGAGGCGACGGUUGCCGGGGCGCGCGCCACCCGUUCCUCUUUUCCCGUUGCUAGCGGCUGGCGCGCAGGGAGGCGGCCCCCAAUUCGGCCGGGCGCCUCCCACUUUCCGAGCCGCCGGGGAGCCGGAGGAUGGCGGCCGUGGCAGCGGCCGCCCGGGAGGAGGCGGUGCGGAGGCCGCGGAGCGCGGCAGCGAGCGGCAGCGGCCCGUCGCGACGGCCCGGCAGCGGCAGCGACCGCGUCCGCACGGCUACCUGAGCACCGGCCACGAGCUGCGUUCCGCCUCUCUCUCUCUCUCGCUCUCUAGCUCGCUCGCUUGCUCGCGGCCCCGGGCGGCGCGGACAUGGGCGCCAAGCAGAGCGGCCCCGCCGCCAACGGCCGCACCCGCGCCUACUCGGGCUCGGACCUGCCCUCCGGGACCGGCGGCGGCGGCGGGGCGGACAGCGCUCGGGCGGCCCGGUUCGCGGCCCCGGUGUCCGGCGCGCAGCAGCCCAGCGCCUCGGCUGGCUCGGCGGCUGCUGCGGCUGCUGCGGCGGCGGCAGCGGCGGUAGCGGCGGCCUCGGCCCCGGCAGCGCCCCGUAGCCGCUCGCUCGGCGGGGCGGUGGGCAGCGCGGCGGGCGGCCGCGCGGCGCAGUCGGCCUUCAGUAUCCCCAGCGCUGGCGGCGGCGGCGGCGGCGGCCCGUACGGCUCCCAGGACUCAGUGCACAGCAGCCCAGAGGACGGCGUCGGCGCUAGGGACCGGGACCGGCCGGCGGGUGGGGGCCCUGGCGGGCCGCGUCUGGUGAUCGGCUCGCUCCCGGCCCACCUCUCCCCGCACUUGUUUGGAGGAUUUAAGUGCCCGGUAUGCUCAAAAUUUGUACCCUCAGAUGAAAUGGAUUUGCAUCUUGUGAUGUGUUUAACAAAGCCAAGAAUAACGUAUAAUGAGGAUGUGCUGAGUAAAGAUGCAGGGGAAUGUGCAAUAUGCCUUGAAGAACUGCAGCAGGGGGACACCAUAGCACGCCUGCCUUGCCUGUGUAUAUAUCAUAAAGGCUGCAUAGAUGAAUGGUUUGAAGUAAAUAGAUCUUGUCCAGAGCACCCUUCAGAUUAAGCACACCAGAUUCCUGUGUUAUGGUCACGUGCUUAAGAAAAGAGGGCGAAGGUUAUGCCAUGCAAGAUCCAAGUUCAGAUCUCUCCCUGAACCCAUGGAAAAAAGCACUGGGCAGUGGCACACUGAAUUCCUAAUGCUGAGAUGCUUGUGAACUCUAGAAGAUUUGAAGAUCUGUCUCUGGAAGAAAAUGAGAACUACAGGCUUAUUCAGCCAGGAUCUGAGUUCUGGGACACUUGGGUAGUCCUGAGAAGGACAGGAACCACAGAACUCAGCAUACCAAACUUGCAUAUAAGGGACACACAGGGAUUUUGAAAAUGCUGCACAUCCUGUACCAGUCACUGCAUAGAUGACACUGAUAAACAUUUUGUAUUCAGACACCAAAGUUAACUCAUUUCAAAGUUGAUUUACUUUUUAUUAAGUUCUGUAGAGCUGCUGUUUUAGUGUAUUUGGUUUUGGUUUGUUUUUUGUUGUUUUUGUUGUUGUUGUUGUUGUUUUAGUUUGGGGACUUUUUAUUUUCCCGAACAUGUUUUUGCAUUCACCUUCUUAACUUGAAAACCACACAAUUUCUUUCUUACAAACUCUUCAAUGUGAACCAAGAAAUGUAAUCAAAGUAGUAUAAUAUUCUGUGAAUGGAGAGUAUAAUUGAAGUUCUCCCACCCCCAUUUCCCCCCAUGUAUGAAAAGUAGGUUUCUGGGUUGGAGAGCUAAACUACGUUAGUAGUGUGAAUUAAAGGUUAAUAUUAUAAAAGUGCCAUCCAAAGACUAAAUCAAGGUACAUAAUUACAUUUAGUUCAUUACAUAUAGAGCUGUCUACUGAACUGCAGUUUCUGAAAUACAUUGUUUCUUCUAAAAUGAAACUGUGCAAUAGCUUGUUAGCAGUGACCAUCUUGCAGCUAUGCAACUUUGAAAAGUCCAGAUUUGAAGUUCCCCACUUUAGGGCCACAGUGACUCUGUCCUACAGGUGUCUCUUGUUCCUCUCCUAUAAUUACUUCAUUGUGCUGUGCAUUUCCAGGCAGUGUCCCUAUGUUUGGGUAAAGUGUUUAGCAAGCUGUAAACAUAAUACCUUAUGAAAAGGGUGAAAUAAACACUUCUGCAGUGGGACUUGGAGUAAUCUGAGGGACAUUUUAUAUACUUUUAAAAAUCAGAAUUUAAUUGGGAUGCCAGAUUUCUAGCAACUUGCAUCUUUAGUUUUCCAGAUAAUCUGGAAGUUAGCAUUUGAUAAAUGAUUUUUUAAGCAAAUAUAAAGAUUUUGUUAAUUUAUAAUUUAUUAAUGUGUUGUUACUGUAAUUGAAAAUGUUGUGGAUACUUUUAAAUUCAGUCUUUGUAGAAAGAACUGUAUUAAGCAAAAUUAUGUGAAUAAAUAUUCCCCCCCAAA
Mastomys coucha (southern multimammate mouse) is the source of this 2481-nucleotide RNA transcript. It is a transcript of the gene named zinc and ring finger 2, with no coding region annotated. The record is from RefSeq and is a predicted model, not a curated record. Lineage: Eukaryota; Metazoa; Chordata; Mammalia; Rodentia; Muridae. The transcript is spliced from 6 exons.